AAGACAGGUUAGCCUAACCGCAAGGAGGGCGCCUACCACGGUGAGAUUCAUGACUGGGGUG
This 61-nucleotide ribosomal RNA is filed under the name uncultured bacterium. RNAcentral's name for it is "partial 16S ribosomal RNA". The record is from RNAcentral.